GUAUUUCAUUGUUUUCAUGUGUCCAUUAUUUCUCAGUCAAUCUCCGUUAUGUGCAUCUGGAUCCGCUAAGUUGGGACAAAAAAUGCUGCCAUAGUACCCACUUGUGUACUAGCAUUCAAUAAUGAUCCUUCCGCAGGUUCACCUACGGAAA
Molecule: unclassified non-coding RNA, 151 nt
Filed under: uncultured fungus
Lineage: Eukaryota; Fungi
Description: sequence contains ITS1
Source: RNAcentral